UACGUAGGGUGCAAGCGUUAAUCGGAAUUACUGGGCGUAAAGCGUGCGCAGGCGGUUUUGUAAGUCUGUCGUGAAAUCCCCGGGCUCAACCUGGGAAUUGCGAUGGAGACUGCAAGGCUGGAGUCUGGCAGAGGGGGGUAGAAUUCCACGUGUAGCAGUGAAAUGCGUAGAGAUGUGGAGGAACACCGAUGGCGAAGGCAGCCCCUGGGUCAAGACUGACGCUCAUGCACGAAAGCGUGGGAGCAACAGGAU
This 252-nucleotide ribosomal RNA is filed under the name uncultured bacterium. RNAcentral's name for it is "partial 16S ribosomal RNA". It matches the Rfam family "Bacterial small subunit ribosomal RNA", at positions 524 to 778 of the family's 1533-position model. The record is from RNAcentral.